UUGAGCGGCCGAUAUCAGAUUAGCUAGUUGGUGAGGUAAAAGCUCACCAAGGCGACGAUCUGUAGCGGGUCUGAGAGGAUGAUCCGCCACACUGGAACUGAGACACGGUCCAGACUCCUACGGGAGGCAGCAGUGGGGAAUUUUGGACAAUGGGGGCAACCCUGAUCCAGCCAUGCCGCGUGAGUGAAGAAGGCCUUCGGGUUGUAAAGCUCUUUCAGCCGGGAAGAAAAUGCAUGGGUUAAUACCCUGUGCAGAUGACGGUACCGGAAUAAGAAGCACCGGCUAACUACGUGCCAGCAGCCGCGGUAAUACGUAGGGUGCGAGCGUUAAUCGGAAUUACUGGGCGUAAAGCGUGCGCAGGCGGUUUUGUAAGACAGGCGUGAAAUCCCCGGGCUUAACCUGGGAACU
This 408-nucleotide ribosomal RNA is filed under the name uncultured bacterium. RNAcentral's name for it is "bacterial SSU rRNA". It matches the Rfam family "Bacterial small subunit ribosomal RNA", at positions 222 to 622 of the family's 1533-position model. The record is from RNAcentral.